Molecule: ribosomal RNA, 788 nt
Filed under: uncultured archaeon
Lineage: Archaea
Description: bacterial SSU rRNA
Rfam family: Archaeal small subunit ribosomal RNA
Source: RNAcentral
UCUGCUCAGUAACACGUGGAUAACCUGCCCAAGGGUCCGGGAUAACCCCGGGAAACUGGGGAUAAUACCGGAUGGAUCACUUAUGCUGGAAUGCUUGGUGGUCGAAAGGUGACGCCCUUGGAUGGGUCUGCGGCGGAUUAGGUUGACGCCGGUGUAACGUACCGGCGUGCCUGUAAUCCGUACGGGUUGUGGGAGCAAGAGCCCGGAGAUGGAUUCUGAGACACGAAUCCAGGCCCUACGGGGCGCAGCAGGCGCGAAAACUCUACAAUGCAGGCAACUGCGAUAGGGGGACAUCGAGUGGCAUCCACUUUGGGUGCCUGUCCCACCGUCUAAAAAACGGUGGUUAGCAAGGGCCGGGCAAGACCGGUGCCAGCCGCCGCGGUAAUACCGGCGGCUCGAGUGGUGGCCGAUAUUAUUGAGUCUAAAGGGUCCGUAGCCGGCUUUGCAAGUCCCCUGGGAAAUCCAGCGGCUUAACCGUUGGGCUUUCAUGGGAUACUACAUUGCUUGGGACUGGGAGAGGUAGGAGGUACUCGGGGGGUAGGGGUGAAAUCCUGUAAUCCCCCGGGGACCACCGGUGGCGAAGGCGUCCUACCAGAACAGGUCCGACGGUGAGGGACGAAAGCUAGGGGCACGAACCGGAUUAGAUACCCGGGUAGUCCUAGCCGUAAACGAUGCCCGCUAGGUGUCACGGCGGUCGUGAAUCGCCGUGGUGCCGUAGGGAAGCCGCGAAGCGGGCCACUUGGGAAGUACGGCCGCAAGGCUGAAACUUAAAGGAAUUGGCGGGGGAG